This 433-nucleotide ribosomal RNA is filed under the name uncultured bacterium. RNAcentral describes it as "partial 16S ribosomal RNA". It matches the Rfam family "Bacterial small subunit ribosomal RNA", at positions 29 to 507 of the family's 1533-position model. The record is from RNAcentral.
AACGAACGCUGGCGGCAUGCCUAACACAUGCAAGUCGAACGAGACCUUCGGGUCUAGUGGCGCACGGGUGCGUAACGCGUGGGAACCUGCCCUUAGGUUCGGAAUAACUCCCCGAAAGGGGUGCUAAUACCGGAUAAUGUCUUCGGACCAAAGAUUUAUCGCCUUUGGAUGGGCCCGCGUUGGAUUAGCUAGUUGGUAGGGUAAAAGCCUACCAAGGCGACGAUCCAUAGCUGGUCUGAGAGGAUGACCAGCCACACUGGGACUGGGACACGGCCCAGACUCCUACGGGAGGCAGCAGUGGGGAAUAUUGGACAAUGGGCGAAAGCCUGAUCCAGCAAUGCCGCGUGAGUGAUGAAGGCCUUAGGGUUGUAAAGCUCUUUUACCCGGGAUGAUAUUGACAGUACCGGGAGAAUAAGCUCCGGCUAACUCCGUG